UUGGAGGGCAAGUCUGGUGCCAGCAGCCGCGGUAAUUCCAGCUCCAACAGCGUAUAUUAAAGUUGUUGCAGUUAAAAAGCUCGUAGUUGAAUUGAGGGAUUGACGUGACGGUCGUGCCUUACGGGGUAUGAAUGAACUGUUGCUGUUGAUUUUUCUCACCUUCUGGAGAAACUUGAUGUCCUUAAUUGGGUGUCUUGCGGAUCCAGGACCUUUACCUUGAAAAAAUUAGAGUGUUUAAAGCAGGCAUUUUGCUCGAAUACAUUAGCAUGGAAUAAUAGAAUAGGACGGCAUGGUUCUAUUUUGUUGGUUUCUAGGAUCACCGUAAUGAUUAAUAGGGAUAGUUGGGGGCAUUAGUAUUCAAUUGUCAGAGGUGAAAUACUUGGAUUUGUUGAAGACUAAUUACUGCGAAAGCAUUUGCCAAGGAUGUUUUCAUUAAUCAAGAACGAAAGUUAGGGGAUCGAAGACGAUCAGAUACCGUCGUAGUCUUAACCAAUAAACUAUGUCGACUAGGAAUCAGACGAUGUUAAUUUUUUUAAUGACUCGUUCGGCGCCUUACGGGAAAC
This 563-nucleotide ribosomal RNA is filed under the name uncultured Glomeromycotina. RNAcentral's name for it is "SSU rRNA". It matches the Rfam family "Eukaryotic small subunit ribosomal RNA", at positions 548 to 1098 of the family's 1831-position model. Lineage: Eukaryota; Fungi; Glomeromycota. The record is from RNAcentral.